Molecule: ribosomal RNA, 1313 nt
Filed under: uncultured Alphaproteobacteria bacterium
Lineage: Bacteria; Pseudomonadati; Pseudomonadota; Alphaproteobacteria
Description: uncultured alpha proteobacterium 16S ribosomal RNA
Rfam family: Bacterial small subunit ribosomal RNA
Source: RNAcentral
ACGCUGGCGGCACGCCUAACACAUGCAAGUCGAACGAAGUAGCAAUACUUAGUGGCAGACGGGUGAGUAACAUGUAGGUAUCUGCCCUUUGGCCUGGAAUAACACGAGGAAACUUGUGCUAAUACCGGAUAAGUCUUUACGGAGAAAGCUUUAUGCACCAUUGGAUGAGCCUGCACUUGAUUAGUUUGUUGGUGGGGUAAUGGCCUACCAAGACUGUGAUCAAUAGCUGAUUUGAGAGGAUGAUCAGCCACAUUGGGACUGAGACACGGCCCAAACUCCUACGGGAGGCAGCAGUGGGGAAUCUUGCACAAUGGAGGAAACUCUGAUGCAGCGAUGCCGCGUGAGUGAAGAAGGCCCUUGGGUUGUAAAGCUCUUUCGUCGGGGAAGAAAAUGACUGUACCCGAAUAAGAAGGUCCGGCUAACUUCGUGCCAGCAGCCGCGGUAAUACGAAGGGACCUAGCGUAGUUCGGAAUUACUGGGCUUAAAGAGUUCGUAGGUGGUUGAAAAAGUUAGUGGUGAAAUCCCAGAGCUUAACUCUGGAACUGCCAUUAAAACUUUUCAGCUAGAGUAUGAUAGAGGAAAGCAGAAUUUCUAGUGUAGAGGUGAAAUUCGUAGAUAUUAGAAAGAAUACCAAUUGCGAAGGCAGCUUUCUGGAUCAUUACUGACACUGAGGAACGAAAGCAUGGGUAGCGAAGAGGAUUAGAUACCCUCGUAGUCCAUGCCGUAAACGAUGUGUGUUAGACGUUGGAAAUUUAUUUUCAGUGUCGCAGGGAAACCGAUAAACACACCGCCUGGGGAGUACGACCGCAAGGUUAAAACUCAAAUGAAUUGACGGGGACCCGCACAAGUAGUGGAGCAUGUGGUUUAAUUCGAAGAUACGCGCAGAACCUUACCAACACUUGACAUGUUCGUCGCGACUCUAAGAGAUUAGAGUUUUCGGUUCGGCCGGACGAAACACAGGUGCUGCAUGGCUGUCGUCAGCUCGUGUCGUGAGAUGUUGGGUUAAGUCCCGCAACGAGCGCAACCCUCACUUUUAGUUGCCAUCAUUAAGUUGGGCACUCUGAAAGAACUGCCAGUGAUAAGCUGGAGGAAGGUGGGGAUGACGUCAAGUCCUCAUGGCCCUUACGUGUUGGGCUACACACGUGCUACAAUGGUAUCUACAACAGGAAGCAAGACGGCGACGUCAAGCAAAUCCCUAAAAGAUACCUCAGUUCGGAUUGCACUCUGCAACUCGAGUGCAUGAAGCUGGAAUUACUAGUAAUCGUGGAUCAGCGUGCCACGGUGAAUGCGUUCCCGGGUCUUGUACACACCGC